GACGAACGCUGGCGGCGUGCCUAAUACAUGCAAGUAGAACGCUGAAGAGAGGAGCUUGCUCUUCUUGGAUGAGUUGCGAACGGGUGAGUAACGCGUAGGUAACCUGCCUUGUAGCGGGGGAUAACUAUUGGAAACGAUAGCUAAUACCGCAUAACAAUGGAUGACACAUGUCAUUUAUUUGAAAGGGGCAAUUGCUCCACUACAAGAUGGACCUGCGUUGUAUUAGCUAGUAGGUGAGGUAAUGGCUCACCUAGGCGACGAUACAUAGCCGACCUGAGAGGGUGAUCGGCCACACUGGGACUGAGACACGGCCCGGACUCCUACGGGAGGCAGCAGUGGGGAAUAUUGGCAAUGGGGGCAACCCUGAUCCAGCCAUGCCGCGUGUGUGAAGAAGGCCUUU
RNAcentral lists this ribosomal RNA (400 nucleotides) under uncultured bacterium. Its description in RNAcentral is "bacterial SSU rRNA". It matches the Rfam family "Bacterial small subunit ribosomal RNA", at positions 28 to 419 of the family's 1533-position model. The record is from RNAcentral.